This 951-nucleotide long non-coding RNA is filed under the name Phascolarctos cinereus (koala). RNAcentral's name for it is "lncRNA (ENSPCIG00000019865.2)". Lineage: Eukaryota; Metazoa; Chordata; Mammalia; Diprotodontia; Phascolarctidae. The record is from RNAcentral.
AGACGAGUUGCAUUUUGCUAGAUAGGGGAAGGAGGGCUGUCUGCUGUCUGGUAGGAGGGCUUUGUCUGCCUUUCUCUCUCUCUCUCUCCUCUCUCUCUCUCUCUCUCUCUCUCUCUCUCUCUCUCUCUCUCUCUCUCUCUCUCUCUGUUUUCUGUUUUUCUCUCUGUCUGUCUCUCCUCUCACUCGCUUGCUCUGUCUCUGUCUCUCUCUCUCCCUCUUCCCCCUCCCUCUCUUGCUUUCUCUCCCUUCCCGUCUCUGUGGUUUGUAAGGUAGGUUGCAGUGUGUGUAUAUACACAACAUCAAGAGCAGGAAAAUGGACUCAUUAGGGAGGCAGGCAGUCAUUACCACUCACACUGUACUUCCAGGGAGACACCGAUUAUGAGAAGAGAAACUCAGUGCUGGGGAACAAGUUUCACAGAAAAAAAAGUGUUAAGAAUUGUUCUUAACCGCUUCAGACUCCAGAGCGCGAAGGUAAUAUUCAUGGAAUAUUCUUUACCAUAUAUGAAUGUCUUCAAAUGUUGUAUGAUGUUUGGGGUCCUUCAUUCCUUAUCUCAUACUGAACAAGCCUUUGGCAAGGUACCCUCAUUGACUAUGUCUACUAGUCAGAAUAAUCGUAAUAUCUAUUAUAAAUGUUUUAAGGCUUGCAAAACAUGCUCCAUAUAUUAUCUAAUUUCAGUAUCUAUAAUCCUCAAAGGAACACAUUUAACAAUUUCUUGAGUAUUUCCUUAUUCCAUCUCUUCUUUGGAAUAGCUCUGUCUUUCUUCUUAUUUUCAUUAAUUUAGGACUCUUAUACAUUUAUACCUUAUUUAUUUUCAUUUAAAUGGAAAUGUUGGCAUGGGACCAGGGCUGUGCUGGAGCCAGCUCUAACAGGCUUACAAGAUGUGAUUGUUAAAUUUUCAGCGUAUACAUUUACCCCUCUGAAAUCAGCAGUCAGUACAAAUCAAGGCUUGU